GACGAACGCUGGCGGCGUGCCUAAUACAUGCAAGUCGAACGCUGAAGGAGGAGCUUGCUUCUCUGGAUGAGUUGCGAACGGGUGAGUAACGCGUAUGUAACCUGCCUGGUAGCGGGGGAUAACUAUUGGAAACGAUAGCUAAUACCGCAUAAGAGUAGAUGUUGCAUGACAUUUGCUUAAAAGGUGCAAUUGCAUCACUACCAGAUGGACCUGCGUUGUAUGAGCUAGUUGGUGGGGUAACGGCUCACCAAGGCGACGAUACGUAGUCGACCUGAGAGGGUGAUCGGCAACACUGGAACUGAGACACGGUCCAGACUACUACGGGAGGCAGAAGUAGGGAAUCUUCCGCAAUGGGCGAAAGCCUGACGGAGCAACGCCGCGUGAGUGAUGAAGGUCUUCGGAUCGUAAAACUCUGUUAGUAGGGAAGAACAAAUGUGUAAGUAACUAUGCACGUCGUGACGGUACCUAAUCAGAAAGCCACGGCUAACUACGUG
This 494-nucleotide ribosomal RNA is filed under the name uncultured bacterium. Its description in RNAcentral is "partial 16S ribosomal RNA". It matches the Rfam family "Bacterial small subunit ribosomal RNA", at positions 28 to 507 of the family's 1533-position model. The record is from RNAcentral.